CGUCUUCCUCAUCAUCUUCCUCGUCAUCAUCAUUUUCAAGUCCAUCCAUUUCCAGGUCCUCUAAAUCAUCAUCUUGAGCAGCCUCUCCAGUGAACCAUGAAACUGCAUGAGGGAUGAUCUUGUCUCGAAUAGUGGACCCUAUGUCAUAAUCUUGCUCCAUUUGAGUCUGUAGUUCUUCAGCAGUUUCUUCAUCAAUAUCAUCAUCAUCAUCAGGGACUUGUGGUGGGUUAAAGAAGUUGAAGAAGCUUUCACAUUUCUCUGUUUUUGUGAUGGGCUUUGUGUUCUUUGAUCCCUUUCUUGGCUUCUUUACCAAAACCUUCUGGGUCAGACACUUGCCCGGAUACCAAUCUAUUUCAGUCCCUAUUGCUUUCUCUAGAACGGGAUCGUCUUCAUCAAUCAUGUGGUACGUCUUUGUCAGAACAAGAUUCUUGAAAAAGGGAUUUGGAUCGAAAAAAAAUUCAAGCUUGAAACCCUUUGGUUCCUCAAUUUUACACCAUUUAAUGUCCUUCAGGAACUUUAAGGCUCCUUCGUCACGCUCUUGAAUCUCCUCAGCAAGCACCUCAUUGGUUUUCAUUGCAGUUAACCAAAAAUCUGGCACACCUUUUUCUUCGCUACUUUUAUCCUCAGCAGUUGCUUCAGUAGUUUCAGUUGUAACAUCUUCCACUUCGACCACACCAUUCACAAUUUCAUAGCGCUUGGUAUAUAGUGGUUCAUAUAGUUUCUGGUAUUUGGCUUCAAGUGCUGCUCUUUCCUCGAAGAAUUUUGCCUCGAACUCAUCAUGUUGGCUCUGGAUCUCCUUUAGGGCCUCUACACGCUUCCGCACCUUCUCCGACAAAUUCUCCAUCACAUCCGAGUGCUUCCCCGCCAAGCUCUGCAGCUUAUCCUUGAGGGCGUUGACGAGCCCCGCGCGGUCCUCCGCGCUGAGACCUGAGGCGGCGGCGGGGAGCGCCGCGCUGAGAUCGGAGAGGUUAAGGGCCUCCUGCUGCUUCUUGGCGCUCAUCGCUGCGCCGCCGCCGGUGACCGAAAAACCCUAGACUGGCGGGCGGCGGGAUUGAG
Molecule: unclassified non-coding RNA, 1056 nt
Filed under: Hevea brasiliensis (rubber tree)
Lineage: Eukaryota; Viridiplantae; Streptophyta; Magnoliopsida; Malpighiales; Euphorbiaceae
Source: RNAcentral